UGGGGAAUAUUGCACAAUGGGGGAAACCCUGAUGCAGCGACGCCGCGUGAACGAAGAAGGUAUUCGUAUCGUAAAGUUCUGUCCUAUGGGAAGAUAAUGACAGUAACAUAGAAGAAAGCUCCGGCUAAAUACGUGCCAGCAGCCGCGGUAAUACGUAUGGAGCGAGCGUUGUCCGGAAUUAUUGGGCGUAAAGGGUACGCAGGCGGUUUAAUAAGUCGAAUGUUAAAGAUCGGGGCUCAACCCCGUAAAGCAUUGGAAACUGAUAAACUUGAGUAGUGGAGAGGAAAGUGGAAUUCCUAGUGUAGUGGUGAAAUACGUAGAUAUUAGGAGGAAUACCAGUAGCGAAGGCGACUUUCUGGACACAAACUGACGCUGAGGUACGAAAGCGUGGGGAGCAAACAGG
Molecule: ribosomal RNA, 403 nt
Filed under: bacterium
Lineage: Bacteria
Description: partial 16S ribosomal RNA
Rfam family: Bacterial small subunit ribosomal RNA
Source: RNAcentral